CCUUGACCUCAAAUCGGGUGAGACUACCCGCUGAACUUAAGCAUAUCAAUA
RNAcentral lists this ribosomal RNA (51 nucleotides) under Russula nauseosa. RNAcentral's name for it is "partial 25S large subunit ribosomal RNA". The record is from RNAcentral. RNAcentral also lists the same sequence under 1 other name. Lineage: Eukaryota; Fungi; Basidiomycota; Agaricomycetes; Russulales; Russulaceae.